RNAcentral lists this ribosomal RNA (772 nucleotides) under Levilactobacillus brevis. Its description in RNAcentral is "bacterial SSU rRNA". It matches the Rfam family "Bacterial small subunit ribosomal RNA", at positions 35 to 771 of the family's 1533-position model. The record is from RNAcentral. Lineage: Bacteria; Bacillati; Bacillota; Bacilli; Lactobacillales; Lactobacillaceae.
GGUGGGGGGAAUGCCUAAUACAUGCAAGUCGAACGAGCUUCCGUUGAAUGACGUGCUUGCACUGAUUUUAACAAUGAAGCGAGUGGCGAACUGGUGAGUAACACGUGGGAAAUCUGCCCAGAAGCAGGGGAUAACACUUGGAAACAGGUGCUAAUACCGUAUAACAACAAAAUCCGCAUGGAUUUUGUUUGAAAGGUGGCUUCGGCUAUCACUUCUGGAUGAUCCCGCGGCGUAUUAGUUAGUUGGUGAGGUAAAGGCCCACCAAGACGAUGAUACGUAGCCGACCUGAGAGGGUAAUCGGCCACAUUGGGACUGAGACACGGCCCAAACUCCUACGGGAGGCAGCAGUAGGGAAUCUUCCACAAUGGACGAGAGUCUGAUGGAGCAAUGCCGCGUGAGUGAAGAAGGGUUUCGGCUCGUAAAACUCUGUUGUUAAAGAAGAACACCUUUGAGAGUAACUGUUCAAGGGUUGACGGUAUUUAACCAGAAAGCCACGGCUAACUACGUGCCAGCAGCCGCGGUAAUACGUAGGUGGCAAGCGUUGUCCGGAUUUAUUGGGCGUAAAGCGAGCGCAGGCGGUUUUUUAAGUCUGAUGUGAAAGCCUUCGGCUUAACCGGAGAAGUGCAUCGGAAACUGGGAGACUUGAGUGCAGAAAAGGACAGUGGAACUCCAUGUGUAGCGGGGGAAUGCGUAGAUUUUUGGAAGAACACCAGUGGCGAAGGCGGCUGUCUAGUUUGAAACUGACGCUGAGGCUCCAAAGCAUGGGUAGCGA